Molecule: small RNA, 244 nt
Filed under: Pan troglodytes (chimpanzee)
Lineage: Eukaryota; Metazoa; Chordata; Mammalia; Primates; Hominidae
Description: processed transcript
Source: RNAcentral
AAGGAUCCCAUGUGAGAAGCUCACUGGGGCCCCUGGGGUGGCCUGUGGGCAGCUCUCGUUCCUCACCUGUGCCAUCCCUCUUGCAGUUCAACAGCAUGAUCCUUUACUGUGUGCCCAAGCUGCGGCUCAUGGGCCAGAAGUUCAGCGUCCGGGAGAAGAUGGACAUCUCAGGCCUCCAGGUGCAGGAUAUCGUCAAGCCAAACACAGCACAUACAUUCAUCAUAACGGGAAGAAAAAGGUCCCU